UGGGGAAUAUUGCACAAUGGGCGAAAGCCUGAUGCAGCAACGCCGCGUGAGGGAUGACGGCCUUCGGGUUGUAAACCUCUUUUAGUAGGGAAGAAGCGAAAGUGACGGUACCUGCAGAAAAAGCACCGGCUAACUACGUGCCAGCAGCCGCGGAAAUACGUAGGGUGCAAGCGUUGUCCGGAAUUAUUGGGCGUAAAGAGCUCGUAGGCGGUUUGUCGCGUCUGCUGUGAAAUCCCGAGGCUCAACCUCGGGUCUGCAGUGGGUACGGGCAGACUAGAGUGUGGUAGGGGAGAUUGGAAUUCCUGGUGUAGCGGUGGAAUGCGCAGAUAUCAGGAGGAACACCGAUGGCGAAGGCAGAUCUCUGGGCCAUUACUGACGCUGAGGAGCGAAAGCAUGGGGAGCGAACA
RNAcentral lists this ribosomal RNA (407 nucleotides) under uncultured bacterium. RNAcentral's name for it is "partial 16S ribosomal RNA". It matches the Rfam family "Bacterial small subunit ribosomal RNA", at positions 355 to 774 of the family's 1533-position model. The record is from RNAcentral.